Molecule: small RNA, 29 nt
Filed under: Bombyx mori (domestic silkworm)
Lineage: Eukaryota; Metazoa; Arthropoda; Insecta; Lepidoptera; Bombycidae
Description: piRNA piR-bmo-1348643
Source: RNAcentral
UAAGUAAUUCAUUCGCCAUAGUACAAUAC